AGAAGAAGAAAAAUUAUUAUAAAACAUUGAAUGAAUCCAUAUUUGUACCUUUGAAGUGCAGAUAACUUCACGAAGAUGGAUGUUCAUCCAAGUGUCGCAAUUGACCAAAUGUCCGUUAUACGUCUCCCCAUUUUUCAGUUCCACCAGCU
This is a long non-coding RNA of Hibiscus syriacus, 149 nucleotides long. RefSeq lists it as uncharacterized. NCBI's taxonomy places the organism in Eukaryota, Viridiplantae, Streptophyta, Magnoliopsida, Malvales, Malvaceae. The transcript is spliced from 3 exons. The record is from RefSeq and is a predicted model, not a curated record.